Molecule: ribosomal RNA, 992 nt
Filed under: uncultured bacterium
Lineage: Bacteria
Description: bacterial SSU rRNA
Rfam family: Bacterial small subunit ribosomal RNA
Source: RNAcentral
UUGUCCGGAUUCUGGGCGUAAGGGCGCGUUAGGCGGCCUGUUAAGUUGUGGUGUGAAAUCUCCAGGGCUCAACCCGGAAACUGCACCGCAUACUGGCAGACUAGAGGAAUGUAGAGGUAGAUGGAAUUCCCCGUGUAACGGUGACAUGUGUAGAUAUGGGGAGGAACACCAAUUGCGAAGGCAGUCUACUGGGCAUUUCCUGACGCUGAGGCGCGAAAGCGUGGGUAGCAAACAGAAUUAGAUACUCUGGUAGUCCACGCCCUAAACGAUGGAUACUAGGCGUCAGGGGUAUCGACCCCCCUGGUGCCGCAGCUAACGCAUUAAGUAUCCCGCCUGGGGAGUACGGCCGCAAGGUUGAAACUCAAAUGAAUUGACGGGACCCCGCACAAGCGGUGGAGCAUGUGGUUUAAUUCGAUACUAACCGAAGAACCUUACCCAGGUUUGACAUCGCGAGAAAUCCUGUGAAAGCAGGCCCCCUACCCACAAGGUAGACUCAAAGACACCUGUUGCAUGGCUGUCGUCAGCUCGUGCCGUGAGGUGUUUGGUUAAGUCCAGCAACGAGCGCAACCCUCGUCUAAUGUUGCCAGCGGGUAAUGCCGGGAACUCGUUAGAGACCGCCGGUGCAAACCGGAGGAAGGUGGGGGAUGACGUCAAGUCAGCAUGGCGGUUACGCCUGGGGCUACACACAUGCUACAAUGGGCGAAACAAAGGGCAGCAAAGCCGCGAGGUGGAGCUAAUCCCAAAAAUACGUCCUCAGUUCAGAUUGUAGUCUGCAACUCGACUACAUGAAGCGGAAUCGCUAGUAAACGCAGUCAGCUAUACUGCGUUGAUACGUUCCCGGGGUUUGUACACACCGCCCGUCAAGUGAUCCGAAUGUCUUCACCCGAAGUCCGUGGCUACCGUAGAGGAGCGCGAGUGAGGGGGGGUAAGAGCACUAGUCGUACAGUACCGUAUCCGCGCAUGCGCGAGCAUGCGACGUCCGCCAUCGCUAG